Molecule: ribosomal RNA, 279 nt
Filed under: uncultured bacterium
Lineage: Bacteria
Description: partial 16S ribosomal RNA
Rfam family: Bacterial small subunit ribosomal RNA
Source: RNAcentral
UGCCAGCAGCCGCGGUAAUACGGAGGGGGCUAGCGUUGUUCGGAAUUACUGGGCGUAAAGCGCACGUAGGCGGACUAUUAAGUCGGGGGUGAAAUCCCGGGGCUUAACUCCGGAACUGCUCUUAAAACUGUGGAGCUAGAGACAAUCAGAGGUGAGUGGAAUUCCGAGUGUAGAGGUGAAAUUCGUAGAUAUUCGGAGGAACACCAGUGGCGAAGGCGGCUCACUGGCUCGAUACUGACGCUGAGGUGCGAAAGUGUGGGGAGCAAACAGGAUUAGAUA